CUCCAUUACCUCACUGCCUCCGGUGGCUGCCGGGAUACCGGAAGACUCGGGUCCCGGCUCGGUUCAGUCCUCCAGCUGCCCGGGGAAUACCUCCAGCAGUUCUUCCCUGCCGCCGCCGCCCCGCCGCUUCCUCCUCCGCCCGCCCCCCGCCGGCCUCCUUCGCCCCGCCCCGUCCGCGCCGAGCGUCCGGCCCGCCCGCGGCCCGCUUCUCUCGGGAGCCCCCACCCAGGCGCAUGGCUCCAUGAAGCAGGAGGAGGAGGCAGAGCGCGAGAGGUCCCGUCUGCCCCGGCUGCGUCUGGGCCAGGAGAAAAGGUACAGGAAGAAGGAAUGGAAUCGGAAGGAAGAAAAUUCAUUUCAGAGACAAAAUAGCUCCCCUCCUCUGUUAUAGCUGUUCCCCUGGCAAUACAAACUUUCUGCUUUCAUCUAAACAAGACAAGGACAUCCACGCUCAGAAACAAUCUAGUCAUUGGUGGUUUUAUUGUGUAUGUGCAUACGGCUUUCUCAAAAAAAGAAGCCCCGUUUCAAGCCAGACAUUGAAGUGUUCAAGCUGUUGUUCGUCUGCUAGAGACAACUUUCACCCCCUCAGAAUCUCCUGAGUACAAAACCGUGUGCUUCGUGAUGGACCAGCACGUAUCAGGAGCACAAGCACAAAAACUUGUGAAGUUUUUAUAUCUCAUUCAGCCUCAAGUGACAGGUUGUUUUUGUAGAAAUAAUGGCAUUGCAAAUGGGGUUCUGCAGCAUCCCAGACCUCAAGCACGGAAUCAGGAUGGGAAAGAGACGCUGUGUUCCUCCCCUCGAGCCCAAGCUGGCAGCGGGCUGUUGUGGGGUCAAGAAGCCUAAGUUGUCUGGAAGUGGAGCGCACAGCCACGGGAACCAGUCCGCCACUGUCCCCGGCUCGAGUUCAGGACCUCUUCAAAACCACCAGCAUGUGGACAGCAGCAGUGGGCGGGAGAAUGUGUCGGACUUAACUCUGGGACCCGGAAACUCUCCCAUUACACGAAUGAAUCCCGCAUCGGGAGCGCUGAGCCCUCUCCCCCGGCCCAACGGAACUGCCAACACCGCCAAGAACCUGGUGGUGACCGCAGAGAUGUGCUGCUACUGCUUUGACGUCCUCUACUGUCACCUCUAUGGCUUCCCACAGCCACGGCUCCCUAGAUUCACCAACGACCCCUACCCGCUCUUUGUGACGUGGAAGACAGGGCGGGACAAGCGGCUUCGUGGCUGCAUCGGGACCUUCUCAGCCAUGAACCUUCAUUCAGGACUCAGGGAAUACACGCUAACCAGUGCACUUAAGGACAGCCGAUUUCCCCCCCUGACCCGAGAGGAGCUGCCUAAACUUUUCUGCUCUGUCUCCCUCCUUACUAACUUUGAGGAUGCCAGUGAUUACCUGGACUGGGAGGUAGGGGUUCAUGGGAUUCGAAUUGAAUUCAUCAAUGAGAAAGGCGUCAAACGUACAGCCACGUAUUUACCUGAGGUUGCAAAGGAACAGGACUGGGAUCAGAUUCAGACGAUAGACUCCUUGCUCAGGAAAGGUGGCUUUAAGGCUCCCAUCACCAGUGAAUUCAGAAAAACCAUCAAACUCACCAGGAAUAAUCACCUUGCAGUGGAGGAGAGAUUACAGUGGGAAAGAGAUGGCUCUGGGUAAGGAUUGUCACGCCCAGCUCCUGUGGUCUGUAGCAGGCUCCAUAGGUCUGUGACGCCCCAUGCUUCGCAUCCUGACUCAUGGCUCUCUCCAGAGCAAAGCCGAAGUGCUAUGAUUCUGUCCUGAUGACCCUGUGAUAUGAUACGGCACAUUCAUCGGGGAAGCGACCCCAUCCUGUGUAGCCCCAGGAUUUUUUAACCUGCUUCACCAGAAUUUGACCCAGAAUUAGGUACCGGAGCGAGAAGGUGACAAUCAGUUACGCAGAGUAUAUUGCUUCCCGCCAGCACUGUUUCCAGAACGGCACUCUUCAUGCCCCUCCCCUCUACAAUCAUUACUCCUGACACACGGCUGCAUGACCAGUCCCACCCCCCCGUGGCCACCAAUGGCUAUGACAUCAUUGGAGCAGAUGCCUCCUCUUCCUGGUCCAGUUACUUCUAUUACUGCACCAUUUUAUGAUGCUAGCUUCCGUUGCCAAGUCUGCCUCCAGCCGACUGAGGAGGGGGGCGGGGUUAUAUUGAAUGAAACAGAACUUGAGGGGCCCAAGCCUUAUCUCAGCCUUUCCUCAAUAUGGGUUCCGUUGGAUUGGGGCUCCUCCAUGACUAGUGAGAAUGCCGUGUGGGUUCAGAAGACCCUUGGGGUGCAGGUGCCGCUGGUGAUCUGCUGCCGGUGUGUUGGCCACAACAGUGGAAGCUGGAAUUGACGGUCCGAGAAGGCUCACCCCACACACAGCCCUGCGGCCUCCCCAGAUCAAGUAGGUGUAUUCCCCUGGCAGUCUGGGCAACGGAGACCAACAAGAAACAUUUUUAGGUUGUUUUAAAUUCCUUUUUUUAAACUUCCAGUUUAUUGCGUACCAAGAGUUGAUCACAACCUCCACGCUUCAUAAGUGGACGCCAUGUUAGGGUUGACCGUGGGCGCCAUGAGUCCUCUGGGCGCCUGGACAGAGACCCACAUCAAGAUCGGAGGCCCUGGGGAUGGCGUUGCAGAUCUCAUCGCUCAGUUAGCCUCGAAGGUUUUAAUUCUCAUCCCACUGUCAGUUGGAUUUUCUGGCACUCUCCCUGCAUUGAGUCUCCUGGCACUGAACACAGCUCCGUGGCGUAGCCUGCUGAGGAACGGACUGGGAUGCCCACGGGAGGGCCCAACGGCAUCGCAGCACGCAGGGUCAAAGGAGAGGCCUCUUCCUUACCACCCGGCUACCUCACUCCUCCACUGGUAGCAGUGCCUACAGCUGGAUCUAGGUUCUCAGAAGGCAGAGAUGUUCAAACAAGCACUCGGGUUGGGUUCUAGAAGGACACGUCGUCAUAGGAGAGAAUCCAGGGUCUCCAAGCUGUUGUUCUUUUCAGGCAAACGUCCUGAGGGACCUUUAAUAAGAGAAGUUCCUUUCUGUCGUUUGCCUGUAGACGUGGGAAGACUGUUGCUGUUUCAGUCCUGUACAGGACUUUAGAACAAAGCUGUGUAAUUAAUUAAACAAGGUGAAUCUUUAUCUUGCCUAACAUGCUGGGAAUCUUCACCCCACCAUGGCAAAGUUCCAAAUAGCUCAUCUUAUUCUAGGUCAUUCAUACUUUCACAUGGCAUAUCCCCCUUUCCCGUUGUUGCUGAUUCCGAGUAGCUGUUGGCAAGUUUCUCCUCCCUCCUGCCUGUUCUUCACUCAUACGGUAGCAGAGUUCAUAGAAGUUGGGGACUUGGAAGAUGCUUUGAAAGCAUUGUCACAGAGGCACUGCUGAAAUGAGUCACAGGAAAAGGUGGCCAGUUGGAGGCAAGGACCCUGAGGGUGGUGACACUGGUUUUCAACAACAUGCUUAGAGAACUCUUGGAGUGGAUUGGGGUCAACCCGGUGAACAACAGUAUUUUGAUUUAAUUUAUUUUUAAAGUUUAUGUGGUGGUGUGGCUUUCUGAAAUGGGCAGAUAUUUACGUGAAAAGAUCUUUUGUGUUUCUUCUGCCAGGAGUGGGGGAGGGGAGCAGGGACACGGUCUCUGCUAAGCACAGCUAUCUCAUUUCUUGAAGAGGUGGGUGAGGGUGAGCAGGCGUGCUCGGCACUGUCUCUGGGAGGAUGUGGGCCGAGCUGGGGUGGGUGUAGGCCGAUCCUCGGCUGUGCGGGCCGUGUCCCGCCACGUUCCCCUUGUAGUAUUCAUGAAAACAGGCUUUUGAAGACGAAAGGGUUGUUUUAUGAUUUCCUGCUGCUGAGAAUAAUAAAUGCCUGGUUACAAACAUGUAACAACAGUACUCUUAGGUGCCAUGGAUUGAUGUCAGGGUGGCCAGCUCUGGACUAAACCACCCACCUCCAAUUUGUACAACAGUAUUGAUACAUAGGGCUACACUCAUUACUGUUCAUGUCUUCUACGUUAAAAGUUGUGUUUAAUUUCUAAAGUUUAAAAAAAGCAAAAAAAUUGGUGCUAAACUUUCACCCCGAGCUCAGUGAGACUGGUCAUGCAAGCAUUUUCAGUGCCAUGCUCUUGCAAGCCUAUUUUUUUCUUGUAGAAAUGUUGCCCUAUUUGUCUUCCCCAGUGUAUAGUAUGUUUUUUUAUUUUAUUGAGGGUAGGGUAGGAUACCUGCCAUUUAAGAAAAUGAAUAGAAAAUUUUAAAACCCAGGAAAUGGGGAAAAAAAAUCAGUGCACAAGAAUCGGGCUAGUUAAGCCCAGCACCACACUGAAGUGGGCUCAGUGGUUUUUGGAGUGAAGAAGCCUUACUCCCUGCACAUUCCCUCAUGCUCCCAUCCAAGUCCAGCAGUGGAGAUGCUCGAGUCCCUCUCGCCUUGGCAGGGGACUCAGGAGUCGACCAAGGAAUAGUCUUUGGCCCUGGGAAGAGUGGCACAGUCAGUGUCUGUCCUGAAUGGAGCCUAGUCAGGAGGCGGUCUGGAAGCGUACAGUCACGGUCACCUCCUGAAGACGUGUGGCAGAUGGCUCUCAGGAAAAAUACUAAGUCUGGAUCAUCCAUGUGGCAGCUUUGCAUAGGGAGAUGAUGGCUCCGAACUGGAAGUGCACUGCCUUCCACGCACCCGACCAGAGCAGUGAGGCGGAUGGCCGGUACCCGUGGGGUGGGCGGUAGGUUUACAGGGAAGGGAGUGUUUUCUGCUCGGUGUUUCCUUUGUCCUUGGGCUGCUCAGGCUGGACAGUAGGUAACCACUGUUUUCACGGACACAGCUGAACUUGGCUGGUUUGGUUCGGAGUUCGUUUGAUCCCUAGCUGUGAGUGCCUUUUGGUCUGGAAAGUUGGCUUGUCUCAUAAUACCCACAGCUGGGACGUUGUCUCCAUAGUUGCGAAUUGUCCUCGUUUUACAUUAACUGAAAGAGAAUGUCUUUGAUCACUAGAGUUUGUCGGUGUUGGGUUGUUUCCACCGUGAGGUUCUUAAACUUUAUCGCUUCAUAAUAUUAAAGCAACUCAUGUUAGAGACUCUUUCAAUACGAAAGGUUUGUAGUUGAGACAUUACAUGUAUUUUAUUGUUUAUAAUAAAAAUCAUCUAUACAGAAGUCCUGGGUGUUAAUAUUUGCACAAGAUCUGUUUUCCAUGAUAUGUUAACACCUACAAUUUCACUAAUUGUUGAUGUUAUUUUCUAUUGAGAUUCUGGAGCCUAGGGAGCUAUAUGUUCUUUCUGUUUACUUUUGUUCUUAUUUCCCUGAAGCAAGAGACUUUGUAUGGCCUUCAGUGCAAAGACUUCAGACCAAUUCUUUGUAUUACACUUGGUUGCCUCUUGGCUAUAUAACUUCUGAGUGCAAAUCAUUGAACUCUUUAACAAAAUAUUGUAGAGAAUAAAUCAUAAUGGGUAAAACUU
RNA transcript from Camelus dromedarius (Arabian camel), 5408 nucleotides. It is a transcript of the gene named AMMECR1 like, with no coding region annotated. Lineage: Eukaryota; Metazoa; Chordata; Mammalia; Artiodactyla; Camelidae. The transcript is spliced from 10 exons. The record is from RefSeq and is a predicted model, not a curated record.